CAGGUAGGAAUACCCGCUGAACUUAAGCAUAUCAA
This 35-nucleotide ribosomal RNA is filed under the name Gaeumannomyces tritici. Its description in RNAcentral is "partial 26S ribosomal RNA". Lineage: Eukaryota; Fungi; Ascomycota; Sordariomycetes; Magnaporthales; Magnaporthaceae. The record is from RNAcentral.